This 269-nucleotide long non-coding RNA is filed under the name Mytilus galloprovincialis (Mediterranean mussel). The record is from RNAcentral. Lineage: Eukaryota; Metazoa; Mollusca; Bivalvia; Mytilida; Mytilidae.
AUUGUUUUCACACUGAGGUGAAAGGGCAGAGUUAUCAGACAGGCAAAGUUACCAUUUUGGCGGAAUUAUCAAAUUAUGUGUAUGGUUAGCAUGGUAAGAUCAUAUGUUUUCAUGUCAUAAUAUGAAUUUGUAUCAUGCAUGCUUUUUUCAAUGGAAAUUGUGACGUCAUAAUGCAUUCUGAAUAACACUAAAACCCAUGAGAUGAGGAUACAUCUUUAAACAUCAAUUAAUUCAACAAAAUGUACAGAAUGCGACCUUGUUAGUUCCCC